GAUGAACGCUGGCGGCGUGCCUAACACAUGCAAGUCGAACGUGAAGCUUGGUACUUGUAUCAGGCUGAAAGUGGCGAACGGGUGAGUAACACGUUGGUGACCUGCCCCGAGAUGGGGGAUAACUCCUUGAAAGAGGAGCUAAUACCUCAGAUGACUGGACUGUUAGAGGGUCCAGCCUAAAGCUCCGGCGUCUCGGGAGGGGCCUGCGGGCUAUCAGCUAGUUGGUGGGGUAAGAGCCUACCAAGGCGAAGACGGCUAGGGGGCGUGAGAGCGUGACCCCCCACAAGGGAACUGAGAAACGGUCCCUACUCCUACGGGAGGCAGCAGUGAGGAAUAUUGAGCAAUGGGCGCAAGCCUGACUCAGCAACGCCGCGUGGAUGAAGAAGGCCUUCGGGUUGUAAAAUCCUUUUCUGAGGGACGAUAAUGACGGUACCUCAGGAAUAAGUUCCGGCUAACUACGUGC
Molecule: ribosomal RNA, 463 nt
Filed under: uncultured bacterium
Lineage: Bacteria
Description: bacterial SSU rRNA
Rfam family: Bacterial small subunit ribosomal RNA
Source: RNAcentral